Molecule: ribosomal RNA, 387 nt
Filed under: uncultured bacterium
Lineage: Bacteria
Description: bacterial SSU rRNA
Rfam family: Bacterial small subunit ribosomal RNA
Source: RNAcentral
AUUGAACGCUGGCGGCAUGCCUUACACAUGCAAGUCGAACGGCAGCACGGGAGCAAUCCUGGUGGCGAGUGGCGAACGGGUGAGUAAUAUAUCGGAACGUGCCCAGUCGUGGGGGAUAACGCAGCGAAAGCUGUGCUAAUACCGCAUACGAUCUAUGGAUGAAAGCGGGGGAUCGCAAGACCUCGCGCGAUUGGAGCGGCCGAUAUCAGAUUAGCUAGUUGGUGAGGUAAAGGCCCACCAAGGCGACGAUCUGUAGCUGGUCUGAGAGGACGACCAGCCACACUGGAACUGAGACACGGUCCAGACUCCUACGGGAGGCAGCAGUGGGGAAUUUUUGGACAAUGGGCGCAAGCCUGAUCCAGCAAUGCCGCGUGCAGGAUGAAGGCC